AUCGCGUUAAGUCGUUUGUGUCAACGUCGGCUCGGGGAAGUAUUGACAGCAGUGAAAAAAGCCACGGUCGUCGUUAUUACUACAACAGAACGGAUAACCCGCUUUUCUAAUCGCUAAAUGGAAUCAUCAACGAUGUACAAUCCUGAACCACAAAAAUGCUCUUGCUGUGGUCCAGUGGCCAAAAAUAUUCCUGUGAUGCUCAUAAUAUUUUUACUGGCAUGGUCAUAUUUAACAUUCGUUUAUUAUAUGUGCCUCGAUGACAUCAUUUCCCUGGAACUUAGAGUGCCGUCCCUGGUGUUGUACCAUAUUAUACUUGUGCUUUUUCUUUGGUCUUACUACAAAGCAGUAACCGCGAAAUGUUACGGUGCACCUGAAAAUUUCAAACUCCCGGAUGAUGUUUUUGAAGAGUUUAAUAGGCGUCCAUUUGAUUUUGCCAAACAAAACACUAUCUUGCGUGAAAUUUCGUACGAUCUGCCAAUUGCGACAUUCACAACUAUGGAAGAAAUCAGAUACUGCGAUAGAUGUAAAAUAGUCAAGCCUGAUCGCGCCCACCAUUGUACUGUGUGUGAUAAGUGCGUAUUAAAAAUGGAUCAUCACUGCCCGUGGAUUAACAAUUGCGUAUCAUUUUCAAACUACAAAUAUUUCAUAUUACUCCUGGUGUACGGAACUGCCAUGUGCCUUUUAAUUGCAUACACUACAAUGGUUUAUGUAUUUAGAUAUUGGGAGGCUUCAUCCGACAUGGAAUUAAAAGUACACCCGUAUGCACUUCAUAUAGUAUUUUUAUUUUUCUUCGCAUUAAUUUUUGCUAUCAGCCUAUUCUCACUGUUCACUUAUCACGUUUACUUGAUGUCUAAAAAUUGUACCACCGUUGAAGCUGUCCGCCCACCGAUAUUCACUGAACAUAACAAUAAAAAUGGAUUCAAUUUGGGUUGUUCCAAAAACAUACAAGAAGUGUUUGGUCAAAAAAAGAAAUGUUGGCCUUUUCCUACAGAAACAAGCUUGGGGAAUGGAGUGAAUUUUCCAUUGGUAGGUAAACCAAGGUCCAACGAGAGAAUUGUGCUAACGCCUUACAAGGCCAGGGAUCAAUUUUCUGUUUAAUAACUCUAUGUACUUCAAAUGGUUAUAGUGCAUAGUUUGCUUUUUACUAUUCAUUUACAAUUUAGAUGUCCCUAGUUUGUGUGUUGUGUUCAUGAUCUUAAAAUUGUACUCGAACAAUUUAACUAUAGAUUUACAAUUAGGAAAAUUUCAGAAGUGUUUGUUGUUUUCAUGAUUUCACAAAUUUACUGCAACAAGUUUACUUAACUUUUAAGCAUAUUCAAAUUGUAAAACUAAUUCAUUAAGGUGUGCUGGGUGAAAUAUUUGAUGUUUUGCUUUUGACAAUUAGUAUAUACUUCAUUGAAGUUUUUUUUUACAUUUUUAUUUCUAUUACGGGACAGUUAAUCGCCAAAUAUUAUGAUAACUUAUCUCCAUAACUUGUUUCCCUUUAAUAAUAAUUUUUUUUAUUAAACGUUUUUUAAAUAUAUUCGAUAAAUUUUCCGUUCUUAAGAAAUAAAUUAAAAACCCCAUUUUUUACAUUUUUUUCUAACUUAAUAAUACUUAAUUAAUACUUAUCACUUACUGAUAAUUAAUAUUAGUGGAUAGCUUAUGGUCUUGGCAAUGUUGUAUGAUUUGCGGUCAUUAUAAAAGAACAUGAAGUUCAACCAUAGCGCUUACAUGUAUACGAUCAGAAAACAUUGAUUGGUAUCGAGUGAUCAGUCUUGCGCAGAACAAAUUUCAAAUGCCGUGUAAAAUGCUAAGAUCUUUAAAAUAAUUAGUAUGAUAGAUGUGUUUAUGACUAUUUUAAUUUAAUAUUUUGUGUGUG
RNA transcript from Adelges cooleyi (spruce gall adelgid), 1861 nucleotides. It is a transcript of the gene named palmitoyltransferase ZDHHC20-A-like, with no coding region annotated. The transcript has 9 exons. The record is from RefSeq and is a predicted model, not a curated record. Lineage: Eukaryota; Metazoa; Arthropoda; Insecta; Hemiptera; Adelgidae.